AUACUUGACUUGGUAGCACAUAUACUAACAUUGGAAUGACAGAGGUAAGAUUAACAUGGUCCUUGUGCAAGUAUGAUACUUAAAUCUGUGGUUUUCCUUUUUUUUUU
Small nuclear RNA from Perognathus longimembris pacificus (Pacific pocket mouse), 107 nucleotides. NCBI's taxonomy places the organism in Eukaryota, Metazoa, Chordata, Mammalia, Rodentia, Heteromyidae. The record is from RefSeq and is a predicted model, not a curated record.